Long non-coding RNA from Cyprinus carpio (common carp), 592 nucleotides. RefSeq lists it as uncharacterized. Lineage: Eukaryota; Metazoa; Chordata; Actinopteri; Cypriniformes; Cyprinidae. The record is from RefSeq and is a predicted model, not a curated record. The transcript is spliced from 4 exons.
UGCGCCAUGUUUGUGUAAUCGCGAUGUGUGAGGGAACAAACAAGAAGAGAACAACGUUUGGAUGAGUACAGAUGAGACAUUAUGUACUGCAGACGAUGAAUCAAGAUCAGUACAGUUAUGUUACUGGAGAUAAGUUACAGUGUAGAGACACAGACCAGUACUGAAGAGGUAACAAACCAAAGGAUGAGGACAGCAGCUUUUCUGUGCCAGCCGUCGUAAAUACAGGAACAUCCUUCAUGAAGAUGUGUGAGAGAAGCUUGGAAGGCAAGAUAAGUAUUUUUUUUAUAUAUAUAAAAAAGGGUUAUUUAUCUAUUUUUUGGUAAUUGAUAGAGUUAUGUUUUAUUCCCUGUAAAGUAGGAAUAAUACAUGUUUGUAAAAAUGUUAUCUUUUUAUAACACCCAGUGUCAGUGAAGAUUGUGUGGUCAGGAAAUCUGCUGUUUAUGGGAAAUCUAAAGGAACAUCUCGCAGCAUUCUACCACCAUGUUGCCCUGAUGAUUGAGGAAUUUUUUUCAGACUUUCCUGCCUCUAUGGAUCAUUUCCGAUCACACAGACUGUGGAGAGAGAAUGUGCACCUUCAUGAUAUUUGAACUUU